AGAAAAAACACGUCAACAUUCAAGAUGGCUGCCUCUGCUGAGAACAGACCCUCCACCUCUGGGAUUUCCACUGCUUCCUUUUAUAAAAGCAGAGCCCUGCAGGUAAAAAAAAUAUUUUGGGAUAAAGUAACAUCUAAUAAUUACUAUAGUUGCACAAAAUUCCAUGCAUUGCUUUUAUGUUCUGAGGAAAUUGGAAUUUUCCAUUUGUCCACUACGGUGGACAGCAUGCAUGACUUAUACUAUUUCUACUACAAUACAUGCAAAUGGUGUAACUCCUUAUCUCUGCAAAAUGCUUGAUUUCAAGCUUACCUUUUCAGUUAAAACCAACCAUUUUAUGUUAUUAAAAGGUAACCUGUAUUGUAUGUAUCAAAAAAUUAAUGUUGUGCAUGUAUUUUAUAUUUUGUGCAUGCAUAGUAUAUAUUGUAUUUUGUGCAGCCUUUGUGCAAGUUUUGCAAUGUUUAUAAAACAUUUUUUGCAAAAAUAUAUUUUGUGCACGCAUUGUAACACACACACACACACACACACACACACACACACAUACACACACACACACACACACACACACUACUAACAGUGCAUGCACAAAAUAUUAUAAAAACAAUGGAAAAAAUAUAUAUACAUAUAUAAGAUAAAUAGAAAGAAAGAUUGAUUGGUUGUGCAAUAUUUUUCACAUUAUGUUAUUUAUUAUAUGCAAGGUUCACGCACAGAGAGGGACCAGAGGAAGUACAGAAAUGUAGAGGAACUGCCAUCGUCCAGCGAUGCAAUAUCACUGUGUGCCUUCUUUUCAAAUGUGAACUAAUGUAGUACAGGGCAUCGACAACUGAAUGUGUUUGGAUAGUCACUAAGGCACUAUUUCUUUUAUUAUUGUAAUUAUUAUUUUCAUGAAUGAUCCAAUCUAUGGCAUUUGUUUUUGCUUUGAGUGUGCUGGCUGAAGUUGUAGCACCUGGCCUGAAGCCUAAUUAGGCUCAUGGUUUCAGUUCGUUUGACACAGUUGACAGUUGUUGUUGCUGUUGUUUGACACAAGCCAUGUUUUGAAAUGUGCAUUUAAACAGAAUUUAAAUGUUUUAAAAUGUGAA
Non-coding RNA from Xyrichtys novacula (pearly razorfish), 1076 nucleotides. Lineage: Eukaryota; Metazoa; Chordata; Actinopteri; Labriformes; Labridae. The record is from the annotation of a GenBank genome assembly.